RNAcentral lists this ribosomal RNA (500 nucleotides) under uncultured bacterium. RNAcentral describes it as "bacterial SSU rRNA". It matches the Rfam family "Bacterial small subunit ribosomal RNA", at positions 8 to 516 of the family's 1533-position model. The record is from RNAcentral.
AGAGUUUGAUCCUGGCUCAGAACUAACGCUGGCGGCGUGCCUAACACAUGCAAGUCGAGCGGUCGCCAUUUUGUAGCAAUACAGAAGAAGCGAUAGCGGCAGACGGGUGAGUAACACGUAACCAAUCUACCCUACCGUCCGGGAUAACUGGCCGAAAGGCUGGCUAAUACCAGAUAUGACCACCGAGCGGCAUCGUUCGGUGCUGAAAGCAGCAAUGCGCGGUUGGAGGAGGUUACGGCCCAUUAGCCAGUUGGCGGGGUAACGGCCCACCAAAGCAACGAUGGGUAGCUGGUCUGAGAGGACGACCAGCCACACUGGGACUGAGACACGGCCCAGACUCCUACGGGAGGCAGCAGUGAGGAAUUUUCCGCAAUGGGCGCAAGCCUGACGGAGCGACGCCGCGUGCACGAGGAAGGUCUUCGGAUCGUAAAGUGCUGUCGAGGGGGACGAUUAUGACGGUACCCCUGGAGGAAGCCCCGGCUAACUACGUGCCAGCAGCC